UAUAAAAUAAAAAGAACCACAUAAGCAUGUUCCCAUAUAGAUCACAGUGACCCGUUCGUUCGCGUAUCAGUAUUUCGACCCAAAUCUCCAACAUCAAACUUGGCCGUCAGACGGAGGAGAACAGUUAGGGUUGAUGGCUGAUCGGAGUUUAGCCGUUGUGAAGCCGGUUUGGAUGAAGCAAGCCGAAGAAGCGAAGCUGAAGAGCGAAGCAGAGAAAGAUGCGGCUGCCAAAGCUGCUUUUGAAGCCACGUUUAAGGGUUUGGUGAAAAGUCACGAGAAGAGGGCUGCUAAUUCGGACAGUGAUUCGGAUGAAUACGAGGAUUUGGCCCAUAAGCCCCUUGGGCCUGUGGAUCCUUCCAAGUGCACUGCUGCUGGCACUGGAAUUGCCGGAGGAACGGCCUGUGCUCCGUCUUCGUUCUCUGUGGUGACUAAGGAUGCUGAUGAGAGGAGGGUUUCAAUUGGGGGUGCACAAAUUAAGGUGAAAGUGACGCCAGGUUUGGGUGUUGGAGGGUCUGAUCAAGAAGGGAUUGUCAAGGAUAUGGGUGAUGGAACUUACACUGUUACUUAUGUGGUGCCUAAGCGAGGGAACUAUAUGGUUAAUGUUGAAUGUAAUGGCAGGCCAAUCAUGGGUAGUCCAUUCCCUGUCUUUUUCAGUGCAGGUAAUGGUAAUGGAGGGCUUUUGGGUUUAGCUCCUCCAUCUUCAUUUCCAAAUCUGGUUAAUCAAACUAUGCCCAACAUGCCAAAUUACUCUGGCUCCGUUUCAGGGGCAUUCCCAGGAUUGUUGGGAAUGAUUCCAGGGAUUGUUGCUGGAGCUUCUGGGGGGGCUAUUUUGCCAGGAAUUGGGGCUUCACUCGGGGAAGUUUGUCGCGAUUACCUUAAUGGGCGCUGUGCUAAAGUUGAUUGUAAGUUGAAUCACCCACCUCAUAAUUUGCUGAUGACUGCCUUAGCUGCAACAACUUCAAUGGGAACACUUAGCCAGGCUCCUAUGGCACCUUCUGCUGCUGCAAUGGCAGCUGCCCAGGCAAUAGUUGCGGCCAAAGCCCUUCAAGCUCAUGCAGCUCAAGUGCAAGCUCAGUCAGCAAAAGAUUCUACCGGUUCACCUGACAAAGCUAAUAAGGAGGAUGUGUUGAAGAAAACUCUUCAAGUUAGCAAUCUUAGCCCACUUCUCACUGUGGAACAGCUAAAACAACUCUUUGGUUUCUGUGGCACUGUUGUUGAAUGCACAAUCACUGAUUCAAAGCAUUUUGCUUAUAUAGAAUACUCAAAACCCGAAGAGGCAACUGCGGCAAUGGCUUUAAACAACAUUGAUGUUGGGGGGCGUCCUUUGAAUGUUGAAAUGGCAAAAUCACUUCCGCCGAAAUCAGCUAUGAAUUCUUCACUUGCUUCAUCCUCCCUCCCUUUGAUGAUGCAGCAAGCUGUUGCCAUGCAACAAAUGCAAUUCCAGCAAGCGCUGCUUAUGCAACAAACUAUGACUGCACAGCAGGCUGCUAACCGAGCUGCAACCAUGAAAUCUGCCACAGAUUUAGCAGCAGCACGAGCUGCAGAAAUUAGUAAGAAAUUGAAUCCCGAUGGACUUGAAAUCGAAGAGAAAGAGACGAAACAGAAGUCCAGAUCACCUUCUCCCCCUCCCGAAAGAUCACGAUCAAAGUCAAGAUCUCCUAUCAAUUAUCGGAGGAGGAGGAAGUCUCGUUCCUUCUCACCUGCUCGUCAAUCUAAGGAUCACCGGUCCAGGUCACCAUUGAGGUUCCAUCAUCAUUCAAGGUAUGAAAGGGAAUGGAGAUCCUAUAGAGAGAGCAGGGAACAUAGUGAUAGGUUCAGAAGACGAGAUUCAGAUAGAUUUAUUGAUCAUUCAUCUGGUUCGAGAAGAAACAGAAGUAGGAGUGUUAGCCCUCAUGCAAGGAGAUCACCUGUUUCUCCUAAACGUCACACAGGAAGUUCGUCUCAUAGAGGAAGGAAACAGUCUCGUGCUGAUUCUGGCUCUCCAAGUCAUUGCAGAGGAAGUAGGUCUUCUCCAAAGAUUGAUGAAAAGAAAAUAAGAAACAGAAGGCGCUCAAGGUCUAGAUCUUCAGAUGAAAAGCUUAACCUUUUUGACAAAAAUGACGAAAUCUUGCCUGAAAAGGCGAAACAUAGAGAGCGAAGGCGGUCGAGGUCAGUGCCUGUGGACGAGAAGCCUCACAGGAACCAAUCAUCCCCAAGAAAAGUAGAUGAAAGCAGACCUAGGCACAGGAAGCGGUCCAGGUCAAAAUCUGUGGACGAUAAGCAUCACUUGUCUGACAGAUUGGAUGAAAACAGAAAUAGAAGGUCAAUAUCUUCAGAUGAUAAGCUUAACCCCUCCGACAAAAACGAAGAAAUCGUACAUGAAAAAUCUAAACAUAGAGAGCGAAGGCGGUCCAGGUCCUUAUCUGUUGACGAUAAGCCUCCGAGGAGGCGAUCGUCCCCAAGAAAAGUGGAUGAAAGCAGAUCCAGGCACAAGAAGCGAUCCAGGUCAAGAUCUGUGGACGAUAAGCGUCACUUGUCUGCGAAAUUGGAUGAAAACAGAAAUAGAAGAUCAAGGCAUAGUGAUAAAAGGCGCUCCAGAUCGAGAUCUAUGGAAAAUAGGGACCGGGCUUAUGUCAGAGAGGAUGGAAGCAAACAUGAAAAGUCAAAAAAUCACGAUACAAAAUAUAACAGGUCAGAAUCUGAUGAAGGGAAGCAUCACUCUAAAGGUAAAUCAGGUGAAAAUAGAGAUAAGAAAUCAAAGCAUCGCGAUAGAAGGCAUUCAAGGUCAAUAUCAUCAGAAGGUAAGCAUGACAAAGGAGGCACUUCAGCUCAUAGAGAAGAGAGAGAUUUUGAACACAAAAGAUUCAGGUCGAAGUCUCCUAACGCCAAGCACCACGGCAAUGAUAAAUAUGGUAAUAAAGAUGAAAGAUCAGAGCAUCAAGAGAAAACCUUGUUUAAAUCAAAAACAGAAAAUCAUCAGCAAGAUGAAGGGAGUGGGCACUCCCCAAGAAAUUUCAAGGAGUGUGAAUCAAAAGGAAAAACAAAAUCUGGUUCUAGAUCUGCAGAAUUUAAGCAUCAUUUGACCGAUGGAGAAAGUGAUCCCAGUGAAGAAAAUUCAAAACAUCUUGAAAAUGGCAUACAAGAACCAAUUUUAAAUGCGAAGGACUUAACAAACCUGAAUGAUAAUGGGAUAUUAAUUCGUGAGAGUGAAAACCCGAAUUCAGAUGGGUCAACUGGAAAUGCAGGAGCUGAUGAUAACCCAGGGUGGAGAUGUGUGGAAGAAGUUGGAAGUCGGAAAUAUUAAGCAUGCUUGCCUUGGAGUGGUGGAUCUCAACGAUUUUACCUGGCUUUUGACAAUGCUAACAACAUAGCUAUAAGUAUAGAUUUUUGUUAUUUCAUCUCAAAUGGAGGAGUACGUAAAAGAGGACACUGAAAGUCCCUUGCUUAUAAAUGCUGAUCAGAGAAGCUGUUAAUGGAGACAGAUAUGAUUUAUCAUCUAUAGAGCAUAAUAUUGUCGGAUAAAGCACUACACAGAUCAUGGUGUUGUCUAUGGUUGAAGAUUUAUGCACCUGUUAAUGAUUAUGGGAUGACAGCAUAUUCUAACUAAGGAUGCAACAGAUCUACCGUUCCUCUUAGGAGAAGUGUCAUUCUCAGAGGAUGCUUCCAGUAUUUGAUUGGGUCCCAAGAAUAUUCUGUUGGCUUAUGAACUUCUUCGAUUGUUUAUUUCUUUUUGCAGGUUGGAUUUGGAAAGAUCAGAUGUAGAAUCCCACAGCUGUUGGUGUGAUUUAAGAUUUCAAGAAAUGACCUGCUUUUGUCAUGAUCAACCAUGCCGAACUAUAUCGUGCUUCUUUUACUGGUUGAUUGAUGUUACAUUCACAUUGAAAUCUAUUGGAGCUUUGAGAUACAGUUUUGCCGGGUUGAUUUUCUCUUGUAUAAAAAUGAAGCAAUUGUCAUGGUUAGGUAAAGCUUCUAGAUAAGGUCAACUGAACCUGGAUGUUGCUGCAAUGAGUUACACCAUGUAGCGAUUGAGCAAUUGGCUGACUUACAGCUUAUUCCUAAGUUAAUGCUGAAUUACAAAUGAUUUCAACAGGUAAUUCUCCGUGAAACUAUUGGUUGUUCCGCCAUAUGUGUAGGUUCUUCAGUAACAUUUGUAUGUAUGCUUCAUUUAGUUUUUUCAUUUUCAUGUUCACAGUGAUGGUUCCAUAUUUCACUUAUUGCAGUUCUAUGCACUUUGACUGGUUUUCAGUCAUCUUGGUGUUGUGAGUUUUUGUCGUGUUAAUUGAUAUGAUUGCGGUUUUAAAAUGUACAAUUGUUGCUAAUAAGUUUAGCUCUUUUAAAGUGAACAAUUUGCUUUAGAGGAUAAGGUGGUCUCCUUUUCAACCAUAGAUAAAUAAAUCAACAAAUGAUAUUGUGUAUGCAUAACAAAUAAUGCUCAAUUAGGAAUAUCAAAAGUUGUGUUUUUUAUCUUCUCAAUAACGAUUGACAUGUCUUACUUUAUCCUCUAAAGCGAAAACCCACUUUAGAGGAGCCUAGUGAGAGAUGCCGGAUAACUUUAGGAUUUUUCCUUUCUCAAGAACAUGAGACAUUAUUUUGGUGAUUGUGAGUCACAUUUGAAGGUUUUCCCCUUUUCUUUUGGUCUUUUUUUUUCCCUCUCACUCUUCCCUCCCCUUCUUUCCCCGAUUUAACUUUUUCUGGUUAGGUUAAGCAAUGGAUAUGAUGAUCUUAUGAGCAGCUGCAAAAUGUCUUCACCAGAUGGUUCUGUGAAGUUUGUUUUUAGAAGUUCUUUGUAUUAUAUUUUCCCUAUUUUUUAGGGUUAAAUGUCCUAAUAUAAUCUGUUCUCUCUCCACAAACUGGUCUGGUCACUGACCGCAUCCCCGAUAAGUUGGACCUUAUAUUAGGGUAUUCGGCUUUGCAUAUAGUAUAUAAUAUAUGCAAAGCCCGAUAAGUGUUUGUUCUGCAUAUAGUAUAAUAAUAUAAUAAAAAUAAAAUAACAAGGUUA
RNA transcript from Cicer arietinum (chickpea), 4978 nucleotides. RefSeq lists it as uncharacterized. NCBI's taxonomy places the organism in Eukaryota, Viridiplantae, Streptophyta, Magnoliopsida, Fabales, Fabaceae. The record is from RefSeq and is a predicted model, not a curated record.